GACGAACGCUGGCGGCGUGCUUAACACAUGCAAGUCGAACGGAAAGGCCCUGCUUUUGUGGUGUUCUCGAGUGGCGAACGGGUGAGUAACACGUGAGUAACCUGCCCUUGACUUUGGGAUAACUUCAGGAAACUGGGGCUAAUACCGGAUAGGAUCUCCUGCUGCAUGGUGGGGGUUGGAAAUUUUCGGCGGUUGGGGAUGGACUCGCGGCUUAUCAGCUUGUUGGUUGGGUAGUGGCUUACCAAGGCUUGGAAGGGUAGCCGGCCUGUGAGGGGGACCGGCCACAUUGGGACUGAGAUACGGAGCAGAGUGCUACGUGAGGCAGCAGGGGGGAAUAUGGCACAGUGAGCGGAAGCCUGAUGCAGAAGCGCCGCGUGCGGGAUGACGGCCUUCGGGUUGUAAACCGCUUUCGCCUGUGACGAAGCGUGAGUGACGGUAAUGGGUAAAGAAGCACCGGCUAACUACGUG
RNAcentral lists this ribosomal RNA (468 nucleotides) under uncultured bacterium. Its description in RNAcentral is "partial 16S ribosomal RNA". It matches the Rfam family "Bacterial small subunit ribosomal RNA", at positions 28 to 507 of the family's 1533-position model. The record is from RNAcentral.